This 394-nucleotide ribosomal RNA is filed under the name uncultured bacterium. RNAcentral's name for it is "bacterial SSU rRNA". It matches the Rfam family "Bacterial small subunit ribosomal RNA", at positions 30 to 429 of the family's 1533-position model. The record is from RNAcentral.
AUUGAACGCUGGCGGUAGGCCUAACACAUGCAAGUCGAACGCGAAAGUCCUUCGGAUGAGUAGAGUGGCGGACGGGUGAGUAACGCGUAGGAAUCUAUCCUGUAGUGGGGGAUAACGUUUCGAAAGGAACGCUAAUACCGCAUACGCCCCAAGGGGGAAAGCGGGGGAUCUUCGGACCUCGUGCUAUAGGAGGAGCCUGCGUCGGAUUAGCUAGUUGGUGAGGUAAAGGCUCACCAAGGCGACGAUCCGUAGCUGGUCUGAGAGGAUGAUCAGCCACACCGGAACUGAGACACGGUCCGGACUCCUACGGGAGGCAGCAGUGGGGAAUAUUGCGCAAUGGGCGAAAGCCUGACGCAGCCAUACCGCGUGUGUGAAGAAGGCCUUCGGUUGUAAG